GAUGAACGCUGGCGGCGUGCCUAAUACAUGCAAGUCGAGCGAACGGACGAGAAGCUUGCUUCUCUGAUGUUAGCGGCGGACGGGUGACUAACACGUGGAUAACCUACCUAUAAGACUGGGAUAACUUCGGGAAACCGUAGCUAAUACCGGAUAAUAUUUUGAACCGCAUGGUUCAAAAGUGAAAGACGGUCUUGCUGUCACUUAUAGAUGGAUCCGCGCUGCAUUAGCUAGUUGGUAAGGUAACGGCUUACCAAGGCAACGAUGCAUAGCCGACCUGAGAGGGUGAUCGGCCACACUGGAACUGAGACACGGUCCAGACUCCUACGGGAGGCAGCAGUAGGGAAUCUUCCGCAAAGGGCGAAAGCCUGACGGAGCAACGCCGCGUGAGUGAUGAAGGUCUUCGGAUCGUAAAACUCUGUUAUUAGGGAAGAACAUAUGUGUAAGUAACUGUGCACAUCUUGACGGUACCUAAUCAGAAAGCCACGGCUAACUACGUG
Molecule: ribosomal RNA, 497 nt
Filed under: uncultured bacterium
Lineage: Bacteria
Description: partial 16S ribosomal RNA
Rfam family: Bacterial small subunit ribosomal RNA
Source: RNAcentral